RNAcentral lists this ribosomal RNA (274 nucleotides) under uncultured bacterium. RNAcentral describes it as "partial 16S ribosomal RNA". It matches the Rfam family "Bacterial small subunit ribosomal RNA", at positions 523 to 796 of the family's 1533-position model. The record is from RNAcentral.
AUACGAAGGUCCCGAGCGUUGUUCGGAAUCACUGGGCGUAAAGGGAGCGUAGGCGGUUUGGUAAGUCAGAUGUGAAAUCCCGGGGCUCAACCCCGGAACUGCAUCCGAUACUGCCAGACUUGAGUAAUGGAGGGGUAGCUGGAAUUCUCGGUGUAGCAGUGAAAUGCGUAGAUAUCGAGAGGAACACUCGUGGCGAAGGCGAGCUACUGGACAUUUACUGACGCUGGGGCUCGAAGGCCAGGGUAGCGAAAGGGAUUAGAAACCCCAGUAGUCC